RNAcentral lists this long non-coding RNA (788 nucleotides) under Nicotiana benthamiana. Its description in RNAcentral is "long non-coding RNA (NBEN_LNC038608)". The record is from RNAcentral. Lineage: Eukaryota; Viridiplantae; Streptophyta; Magnoliopsida; Solanales; Solanaceae.
AAGACAUCGUUGGAUUAUCACCAAAUAAUCAGAAAGAAUCAACUGAAAACUGGAAACUGCAAAUACUGUAGCUGCUGGAAAACUGAAACUGAAAACUGAAAAUACUGUAGCUGCCGGAAAAAUACUGUAGCUACCGAAAAACUCAAGGUUGUCGGAAUUGAAAAGUAAAAAUAUGGGUAGGCUCAGAAUUUGAGGGCGAUCCAACUGCCCUGAAGGACCUUCGUCAAAAUCUCACCGGAACAGUGCUCAUGCGCCGGCGCGUGGGGCGUGUGAGUCGGAUCUGUCUUGAUAAAUCUGGCGCGUGAGGGCGCGUGAAGGGCAGUUUUCCGGUGGGGUUUGCUGGGGUGCCGGCGCGUGGGACAGACGCCCCGGCGGCGGCAGAACACCAACAAAAAGGUGGUUUAGUUACGGACAACCGCUUAAGUCGCCGGAAAAUUGCAUUGCGACGAGGUCUUUAUUCCCGGAAGUAGCUGGAAUGACGCACAACUAUAAAUACUCACUGUAGAUGCGAUGGUGUUGGUUUUUUUUUUGCACAACACUGAUACUUUGACGCAAUUAGACACUUCGGUCACCGGAAAAUUGCAUGGUGACUGAGUUAUUUCUCUCCGAAUGUCGUUGGAAUGACGCACAACGAUAAUUAUCUCACCAAAGAUCUGAUACCAUGUGAGAAAGCACGGGAGAAAUAUGAUAAUUGAUAUUAAACAUGAUACAAUGAGCCAUAUAUAUAUACAUAUAACCUAUCAUACUCCUAAUAAACAUUGGAUUAGGCUACUCCUAAUACACAUUGG